Molecule: ribosomal RNA, 247 nt
Filed under: uncultured bacterium
Lineage: Bacteria
Description: partial 16S ribosomal RNA
Rfam family: Bacterial small subunit ribosomal RNA
Source: RNAcentral
AGAUGGCGACCGGCGCACGGGUGAGUAACACGUAUCCAACCUGCCGAUAACUCGGGGAUAGCCUUUCGAAAGAAAGAUUAAUACCCGAUGGUAUAAUCAGACCGCAUGGUUUGAUUAUUAAAGAAUUUCGGUUAUCGAUGGGGAUGCGUUCCAUUAGGCAGUUGGUGAGGUAACGGCUCACCAAACCUUCGAUGGAUAGGGGUUCUGAGAGGAAGGUCCCCCACAUUGGAACUGAAACACGGUCCAA